GCCAGCAUGGUUUACUGGUUUGAGCACUGGCCUAUGAACCCUAGAGACCAAGGUUCAAAUCCUGGGUCUGUUA
This is a non-coding RNA of Phrynosoma platyrhinos (Desert horned lizard), 73 nucleotides long. Lineage: Eukaryota; Metazoa; Chordata; Lepidosauria; Squamata; Phrynosomatidae. The record is from the annotation of a GenBank genome assembly.